Molecule: long non-coding RNA, 228 nt
Organism: Nothoprocta perdicaria
Lineage: Eukaryota; Metazoa; Chordata; Aves; Tinamiformes; Tinamidae
Exons: 2
Source: RefSeq, a predicted model, not a curated record
UUUUUUUGGGUGUUUCAGUUUAUUGUGUUUUUAAGGGUUUUGGGAUCUUUAUGAUGUUGCUUUUGAGGCAAAUCCUUAUUUGUGUGACAAGAAGUCAUGUAAGUUUGGUAGGUGUUCUGUAGAGUUAUUAAGAGGCAGGAGGUCUUCUGUCUUCCAAAGGAAAAGGAGUAACUUUUUCUAUGAAGACUUUCUAUUGAUAACUCCAUUGUGAUUGUGUCUUGAAUUACA